This 253-nucleotide ribosomal RNA is filed under the name uncultured bacterium. Its description in RNAcentral is "partial 16S ribosomal RNA". It matches the Rfam family "Bacterial small subunit ribosomal RNA", at positions 524 to 776 of the family's 1533-position model. The record is from RNAcentral.
UACGGGGGGAGCAAGCGUUGUUCGGAUUUACUGGGCGUAAAGGGCGCGUAGGCGGCUUGGCAAGUGGAAGGUGAAAUCCCUCGGCUCAACCGAGGAACUGCCUUCCAGACUGCUUUGCUUGAGUCCGGGAGAGGUGAGUGGAAUUCCUAGUGUAGAGGUGAAAUUCGUAGAUAUUAGGAAGAACACCAGUGGCGAAGGCGGCUCACUGGUCCGGUACUGACGCUGAGGUGCGAAAGCGUGGGGAGCAAACAGG